CGGACGGGUGAGUAACACGUGAGGAACCUGCCUUACACAGGGAAUAACAACCGUGAAAAACGGUGGCCUAAUACCGGCAUAACACCGCACUAUGGCAUCAUAGAACGGUCAAAGGAGAAAUCCGGUGUAAGAUGGCCUCGCGCCCGAUUAGUUAGUUGUGGGGUAAUGGCCUACCAAGACUGCGAUCGGUAGCCGGGACUGAGAGGUCGAACGGCCACAUUGGAACUGAGAGACGGUCCAGACUCCUACGGGAGGCAGCAGUGGGGAAUAUUGGGCCAAUGGGGGAAACCCUGACCCAGCAACGCCGCGUGAAGGAAGAAGGCCUUCGGGUUGUAAACUUCUUUGAUCAGGGAAGAAACAAAUGACGGUACCUGAAAAACAAGCCACGGCUAACUACGUGCCAGCCGCCGC
RNAcentral lists this ribosomal RNA (411 nucleotides) under uncultured bacterium. RNAcentral describes it as "bacterial SSU rRNA". It matches the Rfam family "Bacterial small subunit ribosomal RNA", at positions 99 to 518 of the family's 1533-position model. The record is from RNAcentral.